Molecule: long non-coding RNA, 1060 nt
Organism: Peromyscus californicus insignis
Lineage: Eukaryota; Metazoa; Chordata; Mammalia; Rodentia; Cricetidae
Exons: 4
Source: RefSeq, a predicted model, not a curated record
CCCUGUGAGUCUGUUUGUUUCUGUGAGGUUGGCAGUGACAUGCCUCUUCCGCUCGUCUGAACUUUCUCUUUUUCUUCACCAGGCUGCCUAAGGGGUUGUCUGUUUUUGAAGUGGACCUGGUGGCAGAGCCUGCUGCAAAGACAUCACCUGACAGCGGCUGGCAUCACUGAGAGCGUUCUGUGCUCCACCUGGAUGCUAAGCGGACCAGCUGUCGCUACUAUCACUGGCCUCGUUUGCUAGAUGAGGGAAUGAGGGAAUAGAGAGGGGAGGGUUAGAGCCCGCCAUCAUCACGGAGGGCGCCGGCAGCCUGACUCCAAGGCCCGCUUCACCUCUGCACUUUGACCCUGCGAUCUGUGAGCUCGACCACCAAAAAUGCUGCUUAAGAAGGGCCUUCGACCAUUUCAUCAUUUCCUCUCCUUAAACACUGAGUGGUCUUUGGCCGAGAAAAGUAUCCAGAUGCACCGUAGCUGAACUGACUUAGAAGCAAAACCCAGUGCUCCUGGAGAGGCCUUGGAAAAAUGUGUCCUCAGCCAGAGCUGCAGCAUGGGCUGAUGCGGAAACGCAGCCGUGUGUGGCACACGGUGACCCUAUUCAUGAGCUCGGGCACUGAAACCUUCCCCAGGUCAUUUUCUGAAACACCAGGGGUACCCGAGUGAUGAGGAGACAGCUUUAUAAUCAGACUCGCCCCCCACCCCCAAGUCCAAACUCCAGCACCAAGAUGCUCUGCCAUCGAAGAAGCCUGUAGCCUCUCAAGGGCAGCAACUACCUGGAGAUUCACAGUUCCUCUCCGGGAAACAGGACCCCUGUGCACGCCACAUCUGCAGCCUCUUCACCAUCCUCUGUGGAGGCUUCUGCCUGGAGUCCCAGCACUAGGCGGACUGAGGGAGGAGGAGCCCUUGAGCCCAGGAGUUGGAAGCCCAGCGUGGACCACAUUGUCAGACCACCCCCAUCCCAGAUAAGUAGUUGAAUAAACAAGCAAACAAACAAAUGAAAUACGGUGUCUUUUUGAAAUAACCUGUGUGUGUUCUCCUGCAUGCUUUAAAUCUCCUCUAACAUCGAA